Molecule: long non-coding RNA, 572 nt
Filed under: Numida meleagris (helmeted guineafowl)
Lineage: Eukaryota; Metazoa; Chordata; Aves; Galliformes; Numididae
Description: lncRNA (ENSNMEG00000002765.1)
Source: RNAcentral
GAAGAAAGAUCAAUGGGAGGAGGGGGACAGCAUGGCAGAUUUAAUUAAUUACUGCAUAUUAAAAUGUUUGUUUACAGUAACAAACAGCUACAAGAGGUCUGAUGUUAAUUAAUUUACAGCAUUUUUCACCAGUCCCUUUGCCGUUGCUGGCAGUCAAGGAGGCAACACUGUGGCAGAAUACCUGGGAAAUGUUGGCCAUAGGGUCCCUGGAGCUUGCUACUUUGCUUUCAGAACUGCUUUGCAGGCCAUUUAGGAGGAAGCAAGUGCAACCCCAGAAGUUAAUUUUCAGCUGAGCAAGAAACUUCGCUCUCCAGGGGAACGAGGAAGUACAUGACUCCAAAGGCUUUGUACAAGCACCAGCCAUCGAGAAGAUCAAAACAUUCAGCUGUCUAGCUGUACUCCAUACCCAGUGCCAGGAAGGAGACUAGUAACUGUGCCUGAGGUGGGAAAUGUUCCCGCAUACCACAAACACCAACGCAGCAGGGGAUGCAGAAAAGUUAAUUUUGGGUGGGAGAAUGAAGAUUCUUCAGUGUGAAUUCCAGGUUGUUGAAAAAAAUUGUAUUGCACCGGAG